This 140-nucleotide long non-coding RNA is filed under the name Anser brachyrhynchus (Pink-footed goose). Its description in RNAcentral is "lncRNA (ENSABRG00000011922.1)". The record is from RNAcentral. Lineage: Eukaryota; Metazoa; Chordata; Aves; Anseriformes; Anatidae.
GGUCUUUCCUCAUUAACAAGACAACCAUGGACAGCCACACCGUCCUGAAGGACAGGAAAAAGGCCCACAUGCUCCUGCAACAAUCACCGCCUAACUACGUUCAGCCUACCAUGGAAACAAAAGUUGGACAGAGUUCUGGG